AUUGAACGCUGGCGGCGUGCUUUACACAUGCAAGUCGAACGGCAGCAUGGAAGCUUUCGGGCUUUUGAUGGCGAGUGGCGGACGGGUGAGUAAUGCAUCGGGACAUGCCUUUUGUUGGGGGAUAACUGAUCGAAAGAUUGGCUAAUACCGCAUGAUACUCUGAGGAGGAAAGCUGGGGACCUUUGGGCCUGGCGACAAGAGAUUGACCGAUGUCCGAUUAGCUAGUUGGUGGGGUGAAUGCUUACCAAGGCGAUGAUCGGUAGCUGUUCUGAGAGGAAGAUCAGCCACACUGGGACUGAGACACGGCCCAGACUCCUACGGGAGGCAGCAGUGGGGAAUUUUGGACAAUGGGGGGAACCCUGAUCCAGCAACGCCGCGUGAAUGAAGAAGGCCUUCGGGUUCGUAAAGUUCUUUUGUCCGGGGUCAAAGGUGUAUGGUUAAUAGCCGUAUAAGAUGAGAGUACCGGAAGUAUAAGCACCGGCUAACUACGUGCCAGCAGCCGCGGUUAAUACGUAGGGUGCGAGCGUUAAUCGGAUAUUACUGGGCUGUAAAGGGUGCGUAGGCGGAUAUAUAAGUUAGAUUUGUAAUUCCAUGGCUUAACCGUGGGACUGGAUUUAAUACUGUAUAUCUAGAGUUUGUAAGAGGGGGGUAGUAAUUCCAACUGUAGCAGUGAAAUGCGUAGAGAUUUGGAGGAAUACCGAUGGCGAAGGCAGCCCCCUGGUAUAGAACUGACGCUGAGGCACGANAAGCGUGGGUAGCAAACAGGAUUAGAUACCCUGGUAGUCCACGCCCUAAACGAUGUUACUUGCUGUUGGGGGUAACCUUAGUAGCGAAGCUAAUCGCGAGAAGUAAACCGCCUGGGGAGUACGGUCGCAAGAUUAAACUCAAAGGAAUCUGACGGGGACCCGCAUCACACGCGGUGGAUGUAUGUGGAUUAAUUCGAUGCAACGCGAAGAACCUUACACUGCUCUUGACAUGCGUAGGAAUCCUGCAGAGAUGUGGGAGUGCCGCAAGGAACUCUAGCACACAGGUGCUGCAUCGGCUGUCGUCAGCUCGUGUCGUGAGAUGUUGUCUUAAGUGACGCAACGAGCGCAACCCUUGCUACUAGUUGCCCUAAUUAAGUUUGGAACUCUAGUAGGACUGCCGGAGAGCUAAUCCGGAGGAAGGUGGGGAGACGUCAAGUCCUCACGUGCCCUUAUGAGCAGGGCUUCACACGUCAUACAAUGGUAGGUACAGAGGGAAGCGAAGUCGCGAGAUGGAGCAAAUCCUAUAAAGCCUAUCGUAGUCCGGAUUGCACUCUGCAACUCGAGUGCAUGAAGUUGGAAUCGCUAGUAAUCGCAGAUCAGCAUGCUGCGGUGAAUACGUUCCCAGGGUCUUGUACAACACNCGCACCGUGCACACCAUGGAGAGUGGAGGAUACCACAAGUAGUUAGGCUAAC
Molecule: ribosomal RNA, 1439 nt
Filed under: uncultured bacterium
Lineage: Bacteria
Description: 16S ribosomal RNA
Rfam family: Bacterial small subunit ribosomal RNA
Source: RNAcentral